RNAcentral lists this long non-coding RNA (795 nucleotides) under Hordeum vulgare. RNAcentral's name for it is "long non-coding RNA (HVUL_LNC007688)". The record is from RNAcentral. Lineage: Eukaryota; Viridiplantae; Streptophyta; Magnoliopsida; Poales; Poaceae.
ACACGACGCUGGGCGAGGCUUUGCGGCGCUCCGGCAGCUCCAGUUCCAGCUCCAGCUCGGUACGUACUUCCCUUUUCUUCGCCAUGUGGGGCUUGGUUCGGUCGUAGGACGGCGCGUACUAUUGGACUAGUCACUGACUGACUAAUGGGUUACGCGUGGUGCAGUCGUCCGAGGAUGACGGGCAAGGCGGGAGGCAGAGGAAGAAGAAGGGCAUCAAGGACGAAGAUAAAAGGAGAAAGCUUCCGGGGCAACCAAAAGCACGAGGAGCAUAAGGCAGGGCACGCGGCGGCGCCGGCGGCUGGGACGGGGACGCACGAGAAGAAGGGUAUCAUGGAGAAGAUCAAGGAGAAGCUCCCUGGACACCACUGAGCAACGUGCGUGCGCCUCACUUGACACGGUUCUUUGACCAUGUACGACCUAAAUGAUCAGUCGCUGGUGUAUAGUGAAUUCGCUAGCAGAUUAGUAUUUUCCUUCUGCACUUUUUCGUGUUUGAUAGUUGUACGAGUUAGAUUUGGGGUAGUUCGAGUUGGUGUGUGGCUAAUGUCCGGUGCUACCGUAAGUGUAGUUCCUCAGUACUCGUAUGUAGGACUGUAGGUUGUGUGUGGGGUGCCUGUGACGUGUGAGGUAAGGGCCGUCUUCAUAAAUUUGCGGCUCGAGGACUAAUGGAAAAGCAAGACCGUGAACUUUGAAAAAAUCAUCUUAACUAAUAAAAGAACUCACAAGAUAAAAAUAUAUCUAUGAUCAAACAAACGUGCUUUGGUUUAAGACACGUGCUAGCAUAUCCUGUAUAAAGCC